UUGUACGCCUCUCUCUCUUUCACUAAAAAAAAAAAACCUAAACCCAUACAUAUUGCAGCCGUGUGGCCCCAGUCACCGGAGGACAUCAUCAGAGACUCGACGUGACACAAAGGGAGUCAAGAUCAUUCAGGGAUAAUAUUGGGGUGAUAGGACUCACCAGAGAAACACUUGAGAAAUCGAAUUCUAUAUCAGGCCAUUUUUGGAUGCUUGACCAGAAUUAGGAGAUCGAGGAGGUGCAAUAGACGUGGCAAACGCUUAGCUUUGUUUUGCACUGACAUCGAGGCAAGUACGGAGAUGACGGCCAAUUUUCGAGGUGAGCGCGGUUUUCCAUGGAUACAUUUGCUGUUUAUGGGUAGUGUAGGGUUUGAUUAUUAAAGACUUGCGCUUUGUUACGUUCUGAAGA
This is a long non-coding RNA of Tripterygium wilfordii, 403 nucleotides long. RefSeq lists it as uncharacterized. Lineage: Eukaryota; Viridiplantae; Streptophyta; Magnoliopsida; Celastrales; Celastraceae. The transcript is spliced from 3 exons. The record is from RefSeq and is a predicted model, not a curated record.